This 6530-nucleotide long non-coding RNA is filed under the name Elaeis guineensis (African oil palm). Its description in RNAcentral is "long non-coding RNA (EGUI_LNC008801)". Lineage: Eukaryota; Viridiplantae; Streptophyta; Magnoliopsida; Arecales; Arecaceae. The record is from RNAcentral.
AAUUGGGUAAUCUGGUGCCUAUAUAAGAAUAGAUUUCCAACUUCUCCAGAUUAUGGUGAGGUUGGAGCCUUUCAAAUACACCCUCUGCCACUUCCACUUCAGUAGAUGAUGGUUCAUGUUCCUCACCCCCACCUUUGUUCCACUCAAGUCUCAGGUAAUUCAAUCUCGUCUUUGCCCUCAGGUUUGCUUGCAUGGCUUCAUCUGGAUCUUUCACAUGAUGCAGAUUCUUAAUUUCCAAGCUACCACGAAUAGAGUUCAGAUGUUGCAGCUCCGCGAUGGUGCAUCCAUUCUCCUGAGCAACAAUGAACAUCGGCAAUGUCUCAAGGUUACCCAACCGGCCCAAGCCACGAGGUAUGCAAUCCAAAUUGUCACAGCCUCUUAUAUCUAGGUGUCUGAGGUUGCCUAGAUUACUUAUACCUUCAGGCAAUUCUUUUAGCAUCCAGCAAUAGGAAAGAUUCAAUGUCUGCAAACUGGAAAGUCUGGUGAUCGAGGUAGGUAACGUUGUAAUCUGAAAACACGAUGAUAUAUCCAUAUAUCUAAGGUUGCAUAGGUUACCUAUACCUUCAGGCAAUUCUUUUAGCAUAUUGCAAUUUGGGAGAUUCAAUGUCUGCAAAUUGGAAAGUCUGGUGAUUGAGAGAGGUAAUGUUGUAAUAUUAGGACAGCAUGAUAUAUCCAUAUAUCUAAGGUUGCACAGGUUACCUAUACCUUCAGGCAAUUCUUUUAGCAUACUGCAAUCUCGAAGAUUCAAUGUCUGCAAAUUGUAAAGUUUGGUGAUCAAGGUAGGCAAUGUUGAAAUCUGAGCUGGCGAUAAGUCAAUGAAUCGUAGAUGCUUUAAUCUGCUUAUUCUAUUAGACAACUUCGCAAUUCCACUGGAAUUUAAGCCCAAUGCACGUAACUGGGGGAAAGUUUUUGUUGCAUUGAAGAUAAAUUCAUCCACAUCAACGUUACUACGAUAUUCUGCCUUUAACAAAAAAAGCGAUCUCAAUUUUUUGGCUUCAUAAGUUGUCUUGAAAUCAAUUGAUGACCCAGAAGAAUAUGGUAUCGAUAGAUAACGACAUUCAAGUGAAAUGCUCUUCAUACCCCCCUGCAUGACUAAAGCUUCAUCCUUUGUGAUGGAACAUGCAAGAUCAUGGACUAAAUCAUGCAUCUUACAAGUCCCUCGAUUAUUGUACUUAUCCAUUUGGACAUCUUGAAAGAAUGAUCUCGACAACAAAUUAUCAAAGUAUUGCUUGCCAAUGUCCUCAGCAUUUUGAGAAGUACCUGAUGUAUCUAUGAGUCCUUCAGCCAUCCACAAUUGAAUCAAUCUCUCGAUUUCAAUUUCAUGAUCUUUCUGGAACACAGAACAGUACGUGAAACACCGCUUCAAGUGAGAAGGUAAAUGAUCAUAACUUAACUUUAGUACAUGGAGAAUUCCAGCUUCGCCUAUGGGUAACCCUCCUACUUCAAAAUCUUUACAGAUAGCUGACCACUCCUGUACCUUUGUGUAAGAGUUCAUCAGACUUCCAAGAGCUUUUGCUGCUAAAGGCAGACCUCCACACUUUUUAAUGAUCUCCCAUCCAAUUUUCUCCAAUUCUCGGUUAUCUUCUUCCCUCUCAGACCUAAAUGCCCUUUGCUUGAACAGACACCAGCAAUCCUCAUCUUGCAACCCUUGCAAUCGAUGUACUGAGACGGUUCCGAUUGUAGAUGCACCAGAAACAGCAGUUUCAAUGCGUGUUGUUACUAUGAUCUUGCUUCCUAAUUUGGCAUGUAUGAACAAAGGUUUUAGUUGUUCCCACUCCGAUUCCUUAUCGUUCCAUAAAUCAUCUAAAACCAAAAGAAAUCUUUUUGUUCUCAAUUUUUCAUCCAAGAAAGUUGACAUGGUUUGCAAGUUUGAGAAAAUGCUCUGCUCCCCUUUAAGUUGUUCAAUCAUUGCCCGCAAGACCAUUUUCCCGUCAAAAGUUUCACCCACACACACCCACAUUCGAAGCUCAAAUUGCUCCUUAAUCCUCUCAUUGUUGUAGACUAAUUGAGCAAGGGUUGUCUUUCCAAUUCCACCAAGGCCAACUAUUGUAAGGAUGGAGAUAUUUUUGUCAUUAUCUCUGUCAACUAAGAACUCCAUGACCUGUUUUUCAUCUUCAUCUCGUCCAUAAAUUUUUGGUUCGCUCACCAAUGAGGUGGUCUCACGGUCCACAGGUCUAUCUGAGUCAGAUUUGAUCACCAUCAAAUCAAAAUCCUUGUUCUCCUUUGCAAUUUCAUCAAAUCUCUCCCUAAUUUCACUUAUCUUGCCACCAAUUUUAUAUCGAAAUGCGAUUGGAUUGUUUGAGGAAAAGAAGUCACGCACCUUUCCAGUCAUGCGGUCAUAUCUCUCCAUUCUUCGCCGCAGUGCUUCAGUUUGGAACUCAUCCACCACAUCGUCAGCAUCUAAAGCUGCAUCUUUGAGUUUCUUCAACCAACUUUGCAGAGCUUUGUUGGUGAUAGAUUUCUUCUCUGCAUCAUCAAGCACGUUCUGGAUCGUUGAUAACUUGCUCUGCAACUUCUCCAUGUCGGUGUAGACGCUCCUCGCCAGUCCCAGAUCCUUCCAUAGCCCAGAGGCCAACUUCUCCACCACCAUUUCGACAGCAGCACCGGCAGCUGUUACUGCUAAUUCUGCCAUGAUUCUAGAGGAUGAUUGGAGAACCAAUUAAAGCUACGAUCUCUGAGGUCAAGCUUUGGUGAAUUAAUGGGGAAUAUGGACAGACACCUGGGUUCAGAUUGUAUCUUCGGCGCAAAAGAAUGAUUCACCUUCUUUCAUGACAUCCAUCGUUGGAUUGCCCAACAGCCACUUUGAGAUCUGUACAAGCAGCCGAUGGAAGAGGGAGGUUGGUAUUGCGAAAGAAGGUGAAUCAUUCCUUCGUCCGAAGAUGAGGAAGAAGCUUGGCACGCGGUGGACUCUGCCGGGCGAGAAAUUGCCAAGACAAUAAGCCGAGGAUAACGCCAAAGAGCCUGGUAAUCUUUUAAUGUCUAAAAGACCGAUGAUGGACUUGCCAUUUCAUUUAUUUAUUUAUUUCGUUUCCUUUGAGGCCUUGGACGGCAGAAGUGGAGCCCCUGCCAACGAGGAUGGCAAUGGCUCCCAACCGGCAGUGGCUCAUCUUUCAUUUAUUUUAUUUAUUUAUUUAUUGUAUUUUUAUCUUAAAAAAGUGACCUUGGAGUCGUGAUACCGGGAUGGAUCACAUGGAUGCUGCAUCUACCAAAUUUGAAUAAUGGCGAGGAAGAAGCUUUGCAAGUGAUGGACUGAGCUAGGCGAGAAAAAUGCCAAGGCAACAGACGAAGCAUAAUGCCAAAUAGCAAAGAAAACAAAUGAAUAGAAUAAGAAACAAAAUGGUUUAGUAUCAGUUAAAAGGUAGAUAAUCUUGUAUGGUUCUUUUUUUUCGUGGGCGGUGUUGGAAAUAAAUACAUACGGAGCACAUGAGAGGUCAUAGGUGAUGAUAGGCUGAAAGUAGAUUGGAAUCAUGUAAAUGUUUAUUGUCAUUUUUUUUUUUGAUGAUAGAUACAAGUGAAUGUUGUCAGAAAAGGCUACUAAAUGGAUAGAGGCCAACUUCUUCACCACCAUUUCGACAACAGGACUGGCAGCUGUUACUGCUAAUUCAGCCAUGAUUUUGACGGAUGGUUGGAGUAACAGAUCGGAGAACUAACAAAAGCUUUGAUCUUCUUUACUGAGGUCUUGAUUCAAAUAAAUGGAGACUUGUAUGUGGUGGUUCAAUCGUCCAACACCAAUAAUUGAGAGGAAGUGGCGAGGACCUCUCAGAAAAAAACAUGUGACAGGAGGAAGCCAGGAGAAGAAUUAUUGGAGAGAAAAAGUGGGGGACGUGCUAUUGGUGGAUCUCUGGGGCAAUAUUUUGGAGACAGCUGGUUUGAUGGUGAUGGAGUAUACUAGGUCUUGGAGCCGGACAACCAGGCGCUCAAUGGAAUCGAUGAAGUACAAUGCAAGUAGAACAAUGUGAGGGCCAUGGAGCAUUUUUGCUACCUUUCAAGUUGCACUUUAAACACCACUAAGAUAUUCUUUAGCGGAAAACACUGAAAGUAUUCCGACAAGAAUUUAGGUUUCAUUUGAUAGCUCACAAUCUAUUCAGAUUAUAAUUUAAUAUGAUAAUUUAGAUUAUUAUAUUUGAUAUACCUUUUAAGCAACGUUUCAGAUUGCUUCAUAGAAAACAAUCUGAAUUAUCUUGAGAAAAGAUGGCUAUCCAAAUUAUCACUUCUUUGAUAAUAUUGUAAUAAAAUUUUAAAUAAAAUUAUCUCUCAAAAAAAUUAUACAAAAUCUAUUGUCCAACUCUCUCUCUCUCUCUCCUCCACCCUCCUCCGUGUGUGCCUCCAGCCUGUGGCUCCUCCAUCUUCCUUUGCUUGUACCUUAGAGUUGGAUAUGCAAUCUUGGCUUUUGGGAUCAUCAUGGGCUUUGCAAAUCUAUUUUGUGGGUAUGCUAAUCAUUCUAGUUUUUUAAUCCAUAUCAAGUGCUUUUCUUGAUAAAAAAAUAUUUUAAUUCAUUCAAAAUCAAAAAAUUGAGAAACUGUCCUCUGCAACAAGCUUUAUGUGGGAAUUAUUGGAAGUAGCUGUGCACUAUACCUGAUGCCCAGAACUCAUCAUUCUUUGAAAUCCGACGGCCAAAGCAUUGCACCAAAAAAAGCAUUUCACAAUGGAGACCCAUGCGACAAGAGGAUUGGGGCAAUUUGGAAUGAUAAUGCCAUACAUAGCGCAUCUCUAUUGUAAGGAACCAAUUCUAAGAUUUUCUUGGCACCGACUUUGAGCCCAAAAACAUUUUUUGCCUCAGUCUCAUCAUUUUGCAAGAUGGACCUCUAAUUUCAAUAUUGCGUAGAAGGAUUUAAUUGCAGGAACAAUGGUAGAAGAAAAAAAAAAGCUACUAUGAGGAUUUAUAUAUGCAAAAGAUAUUUUCAAGAGACAUAUGAGGAAAAAAUUGCAAUAUAUUACAAAAUUUGUAAUAUGUAUGUAAAAUUUAUUAGUAAAAUAUAUUUAAUACAAAUAGAAAUAGAUCCCAUCUAAAUUAGUCCAUUCUAAAUAAAAUUUCAUGGAACUUAAUUUUAAACAUUUACUCUUGCAUGGGAUAGAAUUUCUACUACUUUCUUUGACAAGGAUGAAUAUGCAAUUAAUGUUCAAUUGGCAUACUACCUAUUUGACAACAUCAAAAAGCAGCCUAAAGUCUAUUUGGUUGCCUAUCUCAAGCUCAAGAAAAAAUUUCUAGACCUCUAAGGAUAAUGGCAAACUAGAAAAAUUGAGAAAAUGGGUUUUCUCAAAUUUAACCAAAAAGAAAUCUAGAAAUUAGAUUCUUUUCCCUGUUCUUUUUAUAUUAAUUUAGAUAGUUCCUUUUAUAUUAAUUUAGGUAGAACCAAGUUAACGUAAUUAAAUUGUUGGGUGAAUAAAGAACUAUGGACUGGUUUGGUUUGCGGAAAAAAGGGGAGAAGUAUGGUCAAUGGAAACAUAGAAAAUGACUGCAUGUUUGGUUGAUAUUUUCAAAAUAAGAGAGAGAGAAAGUAGCAUAUUUAGAUUUUUUUUUCAAAUAUAGCUCUAUUCAAAGGAGAGAGAUGGGUAAAGAUGAUUGAUCUUCUUUUAUGAGCCUAACUGUUUAGUGGGUCUUGAUGCUUUGAGAUCAGUACAUGGAGUUUAACGUUGCACAAGUGAAUGGAGCAAAUCUGACUCUAGGCACUCAUCCAUAUUUAGGUUUUUUUUACUUUUGAUCUUAUCUUGGUUUGUUGAGAGAGAGGAGGAGAAAUCAGGCCUUCCUCUAUCCUCAUGCAAGUCCUCGAGGCCCUCCUUCAUUUUGGUAAACUUAUAUUUCAGUAUCUGUUUAAUUCUAUAUAUGUUGGAUAAUGCUUAACGUAGAACAUUAGUUAUUUGGGUACAGACUUCUACACAUUUAUUCCGUUUUUGGUCAUUGCAAGUUAGACAAACUUGCAGUGGAGCACCGUUAACCAAACUCAUAUACUGGAUUAACAUAGAAAUAUACAAUGUACCUUGGAAUGUAAUUAAAAAAAAAAAUCACAAUCUGUUUUAUUCUGGUGAUAUGAUGCCAUUGUUGUGAACCAUGUACAGUGUUUUGCAGUACUUCGGCAAAUAACAAACACAAAAAUAAGAUAGUGAAGGUGCAAAGCUUAGGACACGUGCCAAAUCAAAGUGAAGAAGGGAAGAAGAAUCGCAAAGCAAAAUUUUCAAAUCAAGAGGGACAUAAUAGAGUAAUCAUGAAGAUUUAAAUUAUGAAGGACAUUAUGGUUGACUGGAUAACUUAAGGAUGCACCAUUUCGCAAGGUUCCCUCGUGCCAUCACUAGCGAAAACAGCAGCACCAUAUGGAGAACCCCCUCCGAUGUCAUCCAUCUUGAACAGACCUACUCCGAAAGUGUAACUGAUGGGAGCAUAUAACAUCCCAUGGGGGGCUUACUGGGUGAUUGCAGUCUAUCUGUAAAAAUAAAAAUAGAGGUAUAAUUUAGCUGCUGACGACAUCAACUUCCCAAAAUUUUCAAAAAAAAAAGAGAAAAGAAAAAGAAGCUAUAGCUCAUGGAGCAAGUAA